CCUACGGGAGGCAGCAGUGGGGAAUAUUGCACAAUGGGGGAAACCCUGAUGCAGCGACGCCGCGUGAGUGAAGAAGUAUCUCGGUACGUAAAGCUCUAUCAGCAGGGAAGAAAAUGACGGUACCUGACUAAGAAACACCGUCUAACUACGUGCCAGCAGCCGCGGGAAUAAGUAGGGGGCAAGCGUUAUCCGGAUUUACUGGGUGUAAAGGGAGCGUAGACGGCAGCACAAGUCUGGAGUGAAAUCCCGGGGCUUAACACCGGAACUGCUUUGGAAACUGUGCGGCGGGAGUGCAGGAGGGGUAAGCGGAAUUCCUAGGGGAGCGAUGAAAUGCGUAGAUAUUAGGAGGAACACCGGUGGCGAAGGCGGAUUACUGGACUGUAAAUGACGUUGAGGCUCGAAAGCGUGGGGAGCAAACAGGAUUAGAUACCCGAGUAGUC
Molecule: ribosomal RNA, 440 nt
Filed under: uncultured bacterium
Lineage: Bacteria
Description: partial 16S ribosomal RNA
Rfam family: Bacterial small subunit ribosomal RNA
Source: RNAcentral